UGCGGGGUGGUGUAAGGGUAGCACGCAGGGCUCUGGACCCUGAGGUUCUGGUUCAAAUCCAGACCCCGCAGCUA
Molecule: transfer RNA, 74 nt
Filed under: bacterium
Lineage: Bacteria
Description: tRNA-Gln
Rfam family: tRNA
About the family: Transfer RNA (tRNA) molecules are approximately 80 nucleotides in length. Their secondary structure includes four short double-helical elements and three loops (D, anti-codon, and T loops).
Source: RNAcentral